Molecule: ribosomal RNA, 253 nt
Filed under: uncultured bacterium
Lineage: Bacteria
Description: partial 16S ribosomal RNA
Rfam family: Bacterial small subunit ribosomal RNA
Source: RNAcentral
UACGUAGGGGGCAAGCGUUGUCCGGAAUUAUUGGGCGUAAAGAGCGCGUAGGCGGUCCGAUAAGUCGGCUGUGAAAGUCAGGGGCUCAACCCUUGAAAGCCGGCCGGUACUGUCGGACUAGAGUCCGGAAGAGGCAAGUGGAAUUCCCGGUGUAGCGGUGAAAUGCGCAGAUAUCGGGAGGAACACCAAUGGCGAAGGCAGCUUGCUGGGACGGUACUGACGCUGAGGCGCGAAAGCGUGGGGAGCAAACAGG